RNAcentral lists this long non-coding RNA (253 nucleotides) under Hordeum vulgare. RNAcentral's name for it is "long non-coding RNA (HVUL_LNC017959)". The record is from RNAcentral. Lineage: Eukaryota; Viridiplantae; Streptophyta; Magnoliopsida; Poales; Poaceae.
GGCAAUGCAAGUGUGGCCGGCAUUGCUUACAGCCACAGGCAAGAAACCGGACCAAGCUAGAAAGAAUAAUAUGGCGUCCAAGUCCAGCAUCACCCCCCUCCUCUUGGCCGCAGUCCUGGCCUCCGUCUUUGCCGCCGCCGCAGCCACAGGUCAAUAUUGCUACGCGGGGAUGGGUCUUCCGAGCAAUCCGCUUGAAGGCUGCCGGGAGUAUGUCGCACAACAGACCUGCGGCGUCAGCAUCGCCGGGUCGCCG